UACAGAGGUCUCAAGCGUUGUUCGGAUUCAUUGGGCGUAAAGGGUGCGUAGGUGGCGCCGUAAGUCGGGUGUGAAAUUUCGGAGCUUAACUCCGAAACUGCAUUCGAUACUGCGGUGCUUGAGGACUGGAGAGGAGACUGGAAUUCAUGGUGUAGCAGUGAAAUGCGUAGAGAUCAUGAGGAAGACCAGUGGCGAAGGCGGGUCUCUGGACAGUUCUGACAUGAGGCACGAAGGCCAGGGGAGCAAACGGG
RNAcentral lists this ribosomal RNA (251 nucleotides) under uncultured bacterium. Its description in RNAcentral is "partial 16S ribosomal RNA". It matches the Rfam family "Bacterial small subunit ribosomal RNA", at positions 524 to 776 of the family's 1533-position model. The record is from RNAcentral.